AGAGUUUGAUUAUGGCUCAGAUUGAACGCUGGCGGCAUGCCUUACACAUGCAAGUCGAACGGUAACGGGUUAAGCCGACGAGUGGCGAACGGGUGAGUAAUACAUCGGAACGUGCCCGAUCGUGGGGGAUAACGCAGCGAAAGCUGUGCUAAUACCGCAUACGAUCUACGGAUGAAAGCAGGGGAUCGCAAGACCUUGCGCGGACGGAGCGGCCGAUGGCAGAUUAGGUAGUUGGUGAGGUAAAGGCUCACCAAGCCUUCGAUCUGUAGCUGGUCUGAGAGGACGACCAGCCACACUGGGACUGAGACACGGCCCAGACUCCUACGGGAGGCAGCAGUGGGGAAUUUUGGACAAUGGGCGCAAGCCUGAUCCAGCCAUGCCGCGUGCAGGAUGAAGGCCUUCGGGUUGUAAACUGCUUUUGUACGGAACGAAAAGGUUCUUUCUAAUAAAGAGAGCUCAUGACGGUACCGUAAGAAUAAGCACCGGCUAACUACGUGCCAGCAGCCGCGGUAAUACGUAGGGUGCAAGCGUUAAUCGGAAUUACUGGGCGUAAAGCGUGCGCAGGCGGUUAUGCAAGACAGAUGUGGAAUCCCCGGGCUCAACCUGGGAACUGCAUUUGUGACUGCAUAGCUAGAGUACGGUAGAGGGGGAUGGAAUUCCGCGUGUAGCAGUGAAAUGCGUAGAUAUGCGGAGGAACACCGAUGGCGAAGCAAU
Molecule: ribosomal RNA, 714 nt
Filed under: uncultured bacterium
Lineage: Bacteria
Description: bacterial SSU rRNA
Rfam family: Bacterial small subunit ribosomal RNA
Source: RNAcentral